CCGGCGUGAAUCCGCUGAUCCGGGCUUUCGGGCCUGCCGGGAGCUCUGUUUAUAAACACACCGCGCGGCUGCCGGCGAGGGGUAACCCUAAGGGGUUGGCAAACGGAUUCUGCAGAGUCAGAUGGAGACCCCCAUCUUGGUCCACUGGAGACAGAGACACUCCUGCUGGUCUGGCAGAAGCAAACAGCAUGUUGUGAACAGCCCCUGGAGAGGACCUCAUGGCAGAGGACUCUGAAUUGCCUCCAGGACCCGAGGGCGGCCUCCAGCAGAUGGCCAGAAAGAAGCUGGGGUCCUCAGUCAUAACGGCCACAGGGAAAUGCAUGCUGCCCACAGGCUGAGUGACCUUGAGAGAGGAUUCUUGCCCAGUUGAGCCUCCCGAUGAGAAUGCAGCCCAACUCAACCUGGAUUACAGCCAUGAGAGGCUCUGAGCAGAGGACCCAGCUGAGCUGUGCCUAGACUCAUCCUAGGGAGACCGUGUAGUGCUAAAUGGAUGUUGGUUUAAGCUGCUAAACUUGUGGUCAUUUGUUACACAGCAAUA
This is a long non-coding RNA of Piliocolobus tephrosceles (Ugandan red Colobus), 538 nucleotides long. RefSeq lists it as uncharacterized. Lineage: Eukaryota; Metazoa; Chordata; Mammalia; Primates; Cercopithecidae. The record is from RefSeq and is a predicted model, not a curated record. The transcript has 3 exons.